Molecule: ribosomal RNA, 512 nt
Filed under: uncultured Ochromonas
Lineage: Eukaryota; Chrysophyceae; Chromulinales; Chromulinaceae
Description: partial 16S ribosomal RNA
Rfam family: Bacterial small subunit ribosomal RNA
Source: RNAcentral
CGGGUGAGUAAUAUAUAAGAAUCUACCUAUUUAUUUGGAAUAAUCAUAUCUAUAAAAGAGAAUGCUUUGCAGUGACAAAUCUGAUAAAAGUUAAAUACUGUAAAUAGAUGAGCUUAUACAGGAUUAAAAACGGAUCGUGUGAGGUAAUAGCUUACAUAGCCGAUGAUCCUUAGUUGGUCUGAGAGGAUGAUCAGCCACACUGGGACUGAGACAAGGCCCAGGCUUUUAGCCAGCAGUGAGGAAUCUUGGACAAUUCGCGAAAGCGGGAUCCAGUAAUACUGCGUGAAUGAGGAAAACAAAAAAGGUCUAUGGGUGUAAAAGCUUAUAGGUCGGUUGUAAAAUUCUUUCACUAAUGAAGAUAAUGACUUUAUUUAGAGAAGAAGCCCCGGCUAACUUCGUGCCAGCAGCCGCGGUAAUACGAAGGGGGCGAGCGUUAUCCGGAAUGAUUGGGCGUAAAGUGUUAUAUAGGCGGUAUUUAUUGAUUAUAUGUAAAAUCCUAGGUUUGUUGCUUA